UGAAGUUGAGCGUCGAAUUGUUGCAAUUCAAGCUAUUCGUGCAGUGGAGACCGAGAGUUUGCUCUCCCGACUGCGCUUAUUCCGCUUAUUUGUUGGGAAGGAUCACUUGAAGAUUCCUGCUUUACAAUUCUUCGAGCAAAAUUUACCCCACCUAUCCGUGACAAGAAACGAGAAGGACAAGAUUUUUGAAUUGAACUGGAGGGACACUGAAAGGCACGGUAAUGGUAGAGAUGUGCGAGCUUCACUUGAAAGUGUCAUCACGUCUGAUUCUCUUGGUGAUCUUACCAUGUCAGUAGACUCAGUGAGGAAAAACUUUUUUUG
This 321-nucleotide unclassified non-coding RNA is filed under the name Hevea brasiliensis (rubber tree). The record is from RNAcentral. Lineage: Eukaryota; Viridiplantae; Streptophyta; Magnoliopsida; Malpighiales; Euphorbiaceae.